Molecule: non-coding RNA, 106 nt
Organism: Epicoccum nigrum
Lineage: Eukaryota; Fungi; Ascomycota; Dothideomycetes; Pleosporales; Didymellaceae
Source: the annotation of a GenBank genome assembly
GGCGUCGUGGCGGAGUGGUUAACGCGACAGACUUGAAUCCGAAGAUCAAGCUUCAGUUUGAUAUCUGUUACCUUCGGGUGCGCAGGUUCGAGUCCUGCCGGCGUCG